CUUAGCCUACGGGGGGCAGCAGUGGGGAAUAUUGCACAAUGGGGGAAACCCUGAUGCAGCGACGCCGCGUGAGUGAAGAAGUAUCUCGGUACGUAAAGCUCUAUCAGCAGGGAAGAAAAAAAGUCUUUGGCUUUGGACGGUACCUGACUAAGAAGCCCCGGCUAACUACGUGCCAGCAGCCGCGGUAAUACGUAGGGGGCAAGCGUUAUCCGGAUUUACUGGGUGUAAAGGGAGAGUAGACGGCAGCGCAGGUAUGGAGUGAAAUGCCGGGGCUCAUCGCCGGAACUGCUUUGGAAACUGUGCAG
RNAcentral lists this ribosomal RNA (305 nucleotides) under uncultured bacterium. RNAcentral's name for it is "partial 16S ribosomal RNA". It matches the Rfam family "Bacterial small subunit ribosomal RNA", at positions 332 to 640 of the family's 1533-position model. The record is from RNAcentral.